GCCUCGGUAGCUCAGUUGGUAGAGCGUUGGCACCGUAAGCCGAAGGUCCGAGGUUCGAUUCUUGGUCGAGGCU
Molecule: transfer RNA, 73 nt
Filed under: Mercenaria mercenaria
Lineage: Eukaryota; Metazoa; Mollusca; Bivalvia; Venerida; Veneridae
Description: transfer RNA threonine (anticodon CGU)
Rfam family: tRNA
About the family: Transfer RNA (tRNA) molecules are approximately 80 nucleotides in length. Their secondary structure includes four short double-helical elements and three loops (D, anti-codon, and T loops).
Source: RNAcentral